CAUCUGCUUGCUUUAAUGGGCGCACACACUGAACAUUCAGGUCUGGAGCAGGAGUUACCAUGGAAAUGGGGCGGAAACUCAACUGUCGAGCAGCAAAACACGUCUUCCACUGUUGUUUUCACAAAUGUCAGAAAUGGUUUAUUGUCUUCAGAAAAAGUCUGUUAGCGUCUAAACCACAAUGCUAACUAUAAGAGGUUUUGCAGGCAAUUUGUCAUUGGAUGAAAGGAAGUAAGCUAAUUUAUUUAACCUAGAAGUAUGCAAUAUACGGUUAAUCGGAUACAAAAUUAACAUGGAGCGUGAAAAUGAGCUGAAAGUACUUUGAACAUGUUUUGACCUUUCAUGGUAAACAAAUAUUGAUUCCACUUGUCCUGUGACUUCAGCAGUUUCAGAAAAAAAACUUCUACGACACAGGAAAAGUUCCUGAUUUUAACAUUUCUGAAGGGAGCUGCUGACAGAGAUAUAAAAA
Long non-coding RNA from Labeo rohita (rohu), 466 nucleotides. RefSeq lists it as uncharacterized. Lineage: Eukaryota; Metazoa; Chordata; Actinopteri; Cypriniformes; Cyprinidae. The record is from RefSeq and is a predicted model, not a curated record. The transcript has 3 exons.